This 1470-nucleotide ribosomal RNA is filed under the name Chlamydogobius eremius (desert goby). RNAcentral's name for it is "partial 16S ribosomal RNA". It matches the Rfam family "Bacterial large subunit ribosomal RNA", at positions 190 to 2574 of the family's 2925-position model. The record is from RNAcentral. Lineage: Eukaryota; Metazoa; Chordata; Actinopteri; Gobiiformes; Gobiidae.
UAACUCUAACCAGCUAGCCUACCCCUAAAAAGAUAACAACCAACAUCAAUAGCCCCAAAAACCCUUAAACAAGCAACUAAAUCAUUCUUCUGCCUGAGUAUGGGAGACAGAAAAGGAAUCUUGAGCAAUAGAAAAAGUACCGCAAGGGAAAGCUGAAAAAGUAAAUGAAAGAACUCAGUAAAGAGCUAAAAAGCAGAGACACCCCCUCGUACCUUUUGCAUCAUGACUUAGCCAGACCCCCUCAGGCAAAGAGCCCUUUAGUCUGAGCCCCCGAAACUAGACGAGCUACUUCAAGACAGCCUCUUAGGGCUAACCCGUCUCUGUGGCAAAAGAGUGGGGAGAUCUUCAAGUAGAGGUGAUAAGCCUACCGAGCCUAGUAAUAGCUGGUUGCCCAUAAAAUGAAUAAAAGUUCAGCCUUUAGGGCUCUUAAUUCAAGAGCUGCCAGCCUACAUGUUAAAAAGUAGCCCUAAAGAGUUAUUCAAAGGGGGAACAGCCCCCUUGAAAAAAGACACAACUUUGCAGGAAGACUAAAGAUUAUAAAAAUCAAGGGUUUUCACCUCAGUAGGCCUAAAAGCAGCCCCCUGUAAUGAAAGCGUUAAAGCUCAAGUGAUCAACCACUAAAAAUUUCAAUCUACUCAUCUUAAGUCCCCUAAUAAAUAAUGGGCCUUUUUAUGCAAGCAUAAAAGAGACACUGCUAACAUGAGUAAUAAGAGGACGCCCCUCUCCCCUUACAUCUGUGUACAUCAGUUCAGACCCCUACUGAAAAUUAACGCCCCCAAACUAAGAGGGAAAUAAGACACACAAUAUAAUCAAGAAGUCCCCUUAAAACCCCAGCGUUAACCCAACACAGGCAUGUCCUAGGAAAGACUAAAAGAAAGAGAAGGAAUUCAGCAAGCACUGGCCUCGCCUGUUUACCAAAAACAUCGCCUCUUGCCUCCCCCCCCUAUAAGAGGUCCUGCCUGCCCUGUGACUUACAGUUUAACGGCCGCGGUAUUCUGACCGUGCAAAGGUAGCGCAAUCACUUGUCUUUUAAAUGAAGACCUGUAUGAAUGGCUUGACGAGGGCCAAACUGUCUCCUUUUUCCAGUCAAUGAAAUUGAUCUCCCCGUGCAGAAGCGGGGAUGCACCCAUAAGACGAGAAGACCCUGUGGAGCUUUAGGCACCAGGCAGCCCAUCAAACACCCCCCCCCCCGUUACCGGAAAAACAUGGCCCCUGCCCCAUGCCUUUGGUUGGGGCGACCGUGGGGCAAAAAACACCCCCCAUGCGGAAUGGGGCCAAACCCCUGAAGCAAGAGCUGCUGCUCUAGCAGACAGAACAUCUGACCAACAAGAUCCGGCAAUGCCGAUUAACAGACCAAGUUACCCCAGGGAUAACAGCGCAAUCCCCUUUGAGAGCUCCCAUCGACAAGGGGGUUUACGACCUCGAUGUUGGAUCAGGACUUCCUAAUGGUGCAGCCGCUAUUAAGGGUUC